UACGGAGGGAGCUAGCGUUGUUCGGAAUUACUGGGCGUAAAGCGCACGUAGGCGGCUUUUUAAGUCAGGGGUGAAAUCCCGGGGCUCAACCCCGGAACUGCCCUUGAAACUGGAAAGCUAGAAUCUUGGAGAGGCGAGUGGAAUUCCGAGUGUAGAGGUGAAAUUCGUAGAUAUUCGGAAGAACACCAGUGGCGAAGGCGACUCGCUGGACAAGUAUUGACGCUGAGGUGCGAAAGCGUGGGGAGCAAACAGG
Molecule: ribosomal RNA, 253 nt
Filed under: uncultured bacterium
Lineage: Bacteria
Description: partial 16S ribosomal RNA
Rfam family: Bacterial small subunit ribosomal RNA
Source: RNAcentral